This 494-nucleotide ribosomal RNA is filed under the name uncultured bacterium. Its description in RNAcentral is "partial 16S ribosomal RNA". It matches the Rfam family "Bacterial small subunit ribosomal RNA", at positions 28 to 507 of the family's 1533-position model. The record is from RNAcentral.
GACGAACGCUGGCGGCGUGCUUAACACAUGCAAGUCGAACGGAAAGGCCUGUCCUUCCUUGUGUUGGACGGGUACUCGAGUGGCGAACGGGUGAGUAACACGUGAGUGAUCUGCCCCCAACUUGGGUAUAAGCCUGGGAAACUGGGUCUAAUUCCCGAUAGGACUGCAGGGUGGUGCCUGUGGUGGCAAACGAUUUUCUAGUGGUUGGGGAUGAGCUCGCGGCCUAUCAGCUUGUUGGUGGGGUAAUGGCCUACCAAGGCGGCGACGGGUAGCCGGCCUGGGAGGGUGGACGGCGACAGUGGGACUGAGAUACGGCCCAGACUCCUACGGGAGGCAGCAGUGGGGAAUAGUGGACAAUGGGCGGAAGCCUGAUGCAGCGACGCCGCGUGGGGGAUGACGGCCUUCGGGUUGUAAACUCCUUUCGACCGCGAGGAAGCCGCCUGGUUGGAAGGGUGGUGACGGUAGUGGUAGAAGAAGCACCGGCUAACUACGUG